AAUAUUGCACAAUGGGGGAAACCCUGAUGCAGCGACGCCGCGUGAGUGAAGAAGUAUUUCGGUAUGUAAAGCUCUAUCAGCAGGGAAGAAAAUGACGGUACCUGACUAAGAAGCCCCGGCUAACUACGUGCCAGCAGCCGCGGUAAUACGUAGGGGGCAAGCGUUAUCCGGAUUUACUGGGUGUAAAGGGAGCGUAGACGGCGCGGCAAGUCUGAAGUGAAAGCCCGGGGCUUAACCCCGGGACUGCUUUGGAAACUGCCAUGCUGGAGUGCUGGAGAGGUAAGUGGAAUUCCUAGUGUAGCGGUGAAAUGCGUAGAUAUUAGGAGGAACACCAGUGGCGAAGGCGGCUUACUGGACAGUAACUGACGUUGAGGCUCGAAGGCGUGGGGAGCAAACAG
Molecule: ribosomal RNA, 398 nt
Filed under: uncultured bacterium
Lineage: Bacteria
Description: bacterial SSU rRNA
Rfam family: Bacterial small subunit ribosomal RNA
Source: RNAcentral